GCUCCGGAAGACUCAGUUUCCCUGGGCGGGGACUCUGUGUGGGGAGAUGCCCUGCAGAGGGAACCCAACCAGUGGCCUAGUGGUCUCUGGCGGGCGAGCGUGAACGAGGUCCUGCUUGAUAUCUAGAAAAAUUUCCCCAUUGCCUUGAAGGGAAAAGAGCUGGAGAAGGAGGGUGAGAGAUUCUGAAAAGUUGGAACGCUAACUGAAGUUCUGGGACCUCGACGACACUUUACAAGUUGUAGUCUGUGCGGGUGGAGUUGCGAGAGAGAAAACUCCUAGCUUCAAAGAUUGCUUAUCUCCCGCGCCCUUGAACUUCAUUCUUUUCCUUGAGAAACUCAGCCUAGCUGCAGGCUCUCCCGGCAAGUGCUAAUGGAGCUUCUUGCCUGCCAAGUUUGGGUGGCUGGAAAAGGGGGGAGGGGGAGAUGAAAAAAAAACGGGGAGGGGGGGGGCGGAAACUGUGGGAUUGCCCUCCUCCCUGGGAGAACUGCAUCAGAGUGUUGAUAGCUGGCCUGAGGUGACUGUGGGGGAAUCACUUAUCAUAGAGCUGUGAAAAUUCACAGGAAGAUAUAUUUUUUCUUCCCCCGGAAUGUUUGUGAGGAGGGAGAGAGUGAGUAUCAUCGGAGAAAGCAGAUUUGUCACCAAAAGAGCAAAGCUGCCAAAGGUCUCAUCGCUUGUGGUGAUGGUCUCAAAGAGACUGUGCUGAUUAGAGGGACUUGAUAAGAAGUAGAACCCACUAUCCAGAGGAGUGUUGGGGACAUUAGUGUUUGGAGGGCUCCAGGGGAAGUGGAAGCUGGCUACUCUCUUCUCCAGCUCCUUAAAGCUCUCAGGUCCAAUGUGUGUUUGCUGGGCAGGGGUGGGACAAGAGGCUGCCCUUAGCCAGUGUGGAGUCAGUAAAGAAUGGAGUGUGUGUGUUUUAAGUAUGGUCAUAAAGGAGAUGGAAAAUUUCCACUGGGUCUUGAGUGAGGGAUUCUACUCUGCAAGUGUGUUGUGUUGAGAGGGGGGCGGGGGGAGGGGUGGUGACCUGGCAGGAAAGAAAACCAAGGUUGGAGAGGCACUGCUGGUGGGUCGGCCUAGGGGGAAAUCUGGGAGGUGGUUUUGGUGGUCAGGUCAGUCCACUUGGCAGCCCAGGGUGUUUGUGUGACCCUGCAGUCACCCUUCUUGAAGGUUUCCUGGGACCCAGAGACACCCACCCUUCUCUGUCCCUGGGGGAGAACCCCUGGCUUUAUGGAGUGCUUGCAAGCAUCCUUUUUUGGAUUGCUGGAGGGCUGGGAAAGUUUUCUCCCUUCUCUCAUUAGGGCCCCCACCCAGAUUCCUCUUAGUCUUUCCUCCCAGUAGCCGAUGACUUUCUCUACUAGUUCCUGCUGUCUGCUUUUGCUCAGCCUAGAGCCUGGUGCUGGCCUGUGAGCUAGCAGGUGGAGGAAUCUGGGUGUGCAGUCUAUGGUCCAAGCUCUUUUCAGCUUCACAGUGGGUCGAGGCGUGUUCAGUUUGGUUUGGUAGUGUGAGUAGGGAGAGAGGGUUCUCAUCUCUAACCUAGAGAUUAGAGGUUUCGGCCUUGACAACAUGAGCGUGUUCCCAGUGGGCACUCCUGGGGUCCUACUGUGGGUCAGACUGACAAAGUUUCUUGUAAUUUCUAUGGGUUUAUUCAAGAAACAGCUUUUUUUUUUCCUUCCUCUUAAUAUGCUUCCUAGAACAAAGUCAAAUUACCAAGAAAUAUGCCAAACCCAGAACAGAGAGAGAGAGAGAGAGAGAGAGAGAGAGAGAGAGAGAGAGAGAGAGAGAUCCUUGCUCUGGCAGGGAUCCAGGCUCACUAACCCUCAGUUUGGUGCACUGCACAAGAGAUGAGAUAAUGCUUUUAAAAAUGGGAGGUGUGGGUGUGGGCCUGCUGGCUUGUUGACCUGCUGCCGCCUGACAGCAGCAGGCACCCUGCCUGUUGCCACCAGUAGAUGGCUCCCAACUGUCCUCGGGAAACUGGAGCUCGGAAAGUGUGCUCAAGCCCGUCUGCCUCCUUCCUCUUCCAGAACCUUCAAGCAUUCUCACUCUGGCCAGAUGCCAUGCUGCCAGGCAAGGGCACAGCAUGCCUAGCUGGGCCCCUGGUAAGCCCCCAUCACCACACCAAAAUGGCCUUCCCUCUCCCUGUUUCUUUAUCCACGGGUGUCUCUUUUCUCUUUUUUUUCUCCAAAACCCAUGGGACUGGCACAACCUUCUGGAUGAGGAGGAGUUAAAAGGUGUUUCUAUGGCAACUGCAGGCCCUGUACCCUAUUAAAGUGUUUAGAAGAAUAAACUACACAGACGCUUAUCAGAUACACUGUGGGGCAAAGAAAGAGACUUGGCAGCAGUCGCCUCACCUGGGGCCUUCUCCUUCCAGUCCUUGCUCCUCCUUCAAAACCUUGACUGAAGAAGCAGCGGGGAGGGCACUGGGAAUGAAAGAGGCAGGCUUGGCCAGGCAGACUUUGUUCUGGCCACCUUAGUUCAGGAAGGAUGGGAAAUGUUCAGAGCAUUCUGAAAACUGGAGUGGGGUGGUGUGUGUGUGUGUGUGUGUGUGUGUGUGUGUGUGUGUGUGUGUGUGUGUGUGUGUGUGUGGUUUUGGCAGAGGUGGGAGUAGUAGAGAAAACCCCCUUCUCUCUGUCUCCAUUCACAAGGAGUAAUUAGGCAGUGGCAUUGGUGGGAGUGGAGAGGUGUCAGCCCUGGGUCUGGGAGGAGCAGCUGACAACCUUGGAGAAUAGCCCUGAUAUCAUUGAGUUGUUUUGACAGGGACCACUGCCAGGGGCGUGUUCCUUCAGCAUCAGAUCUGAAGUGGUUUUAGCAAAGAAGCCAUUUGUAGACAAACGUGACCUAUGCCCUCUCACUCCUACAGGCAGACAGACACAAAGAAAAUGAAAUUAUGGAACUUUGGAGAAUUGACAACCACCUAGUGGGGAUGGUGGUGUGCGUGUACGUGCAUGUGUGCAUGUCCAUGUGUACCAAUGCUAAUAGUAUCUCGAGAAUCCUGGCCAGAGGAAGACUGCUGUUAGGCAAGAGGAAAGAAGGGACGGAUGCAUUCAGACUUGCAUGGGUGUGCAAGCAUGUUAGAGGUACUAUCUUAACUCCCCAGCAACCUUAAGUGGUAUUGCACCCAUUUCUCAGAUGGGAAAUACUGAGGCUGAAUGAGAUCAUGCAAGGCCACCCAGUAGUGGCCAGGCAUGCAUUCAGUCUUCAUGAUGAGACCUUUCACUAACCUCUGACAUCUUGCACUGACUUCUGACAUCCUAAGGCAGGCACCUGCACCUGGAAUCCAAAUGAAAGGGACAGAUGGCAUUUUCAUCUAGAUUAGAAAAGCUUUCCUCCAACCUUUGAAGGCAGCUAAAGGGGCCAGCAGUUUUAAUUAAGUAUCCUGUUUACGGAGGAAGAAUUGAUUAUAGUUUUAUAACGGAACAACAUUAAAAAAAAAAAAAGGAAAUUCCCUAUGUUCUUUAGCUACUAAAACCAGAAAAGACUCUCAAAAUUAUUAGGUCAGAGUGAAACUAAUUGUGUGUCACUAAGACCAGCGAACAGCAAGGCUGAUAGAAUCCAAACUUGCAGGAUGACUGUAGGAGACAGGAUUCCCAGGGGAUCCACCUGCCAGUGCUGAGUGGGAGGUGGAUGAGUGGAGCAUGAGGCAGGAAGGAAGUCUGCAGACUGGGGUCCUCGUGGGUGUAGAAGGUGCCCCUCUGACUGAUCUGUCCCUUUCCCAGUCCCCUGACAGACAAGACUAGAACAGGGCUGGGAAGUGGCUUUGCUGGCACAGCAGGAGCCAUUGAGCUCAGCUGCUGACUGGCACAUUCCAACAGGUUCAUUAAUGAAAAACAAAAACCAUUCCAGUCCCCUUUGGCUUUUAACACUUUAGCCUGUGCUAUGUGGACACGAAGGCCCCUUCUAACCACUUUUGUCACAUUCAGCUCUUGGGUGGUCUCUAGAGGCCAUGUGGGAUGGUGGAAGAGCCCUGGACAGGGCACAGCUGGGCUCAGAUCCUCCCCCCUCCCCAACCCCAGCAUCUUGUUGGCUUUGUGUUUAGGCUUUUAUUGGGUCCUUUCAGCCUUUACUCUCCUCGUGAUGAAAGGACACAGUAAUUUGUACUUUCAGACCUUUUUUUAUUCAUGCCUUUAAGCUUAAAGUUUUACAGUGAUGUGUUAUUUUAUGUUUAUGUAUCAUUUAUCCUAUCUAUCUACCUACCUAUCUAUCUAUCUAUCUAUCUAUCUAUCUAUCUAUCUAUCUAUCUAUCUAUCCAUCCAUCCAUCCAUCCACCCACCCAUCCACCCAUCCAUUUAUACAUGUACCUCCCUAUCUCUUCAUCUACCCACCUCUACAAAAUCAAAGAAAGAGCAAGUCGCUUUGGAUCGCUGCUUCAAUCAAUACUACUUCUUUCUAUUCUCCAUCUGCAUCCUUACAUCAUUAUCCGAGGAACAUUCCCAGAAGUUUUGCUUCAUUAGAAAGUUGUAAAGUUAGAAGACUGAAUACUGGAGUGACCUUGGUGUCGUUUCUGUUCAAUCAUGUAUACCAGGGAGUGAUAUACAUAUACAUGUGGGUAAUUGUAGUCUUGCUCUCCUUAGUAUUCCAUGGGAUGAUAAUUUUUUUAAAACCCAAUGCUGAGUUUUAAGAUAGAAUGAUUACUGUGUGCUAGGCAUCAUUCCAAAUAAUUAAUAUGCAUUAGUUCAUUCAAGUCUCUCAACAGUCCUACGAGGCAGAUGUACUAUUAUCAUCUUCACUGAAAAAAGCUGCAGCUCAGAAAAAUUCAGUAAGUUGUUCAGUGCUAUACCUGGUAAGUAGCAGAGACUAGUAUUUACACCCAUGUAUCCCACCUCUCUGGUGUCUCCAGCUAGACUAUAUAACAUUUAUAGUGCUAUAUGUGGUGAUAUUACUAUGACAAUAUAAUAUUCAUUUAGAUCUACCAUCACUUUAUUUAGAUAUCUCCUAUUUAUGGAUAGCUAUGCUUCUAACAACUUUCACCUUCCUAAGAGUGCUAGAACACAUGGUCACUAUAUUAUCUUUUGCUGCUGUGCGUGGAGAAGCCUCUAUGGCAAGCGUACAUUUGGAAGUAUUGGUGGGAAGGAAGGACACUGUAUUUUCAGCUUUGCUGCAGUCCACCGCCAGAGCUGCAUGUUGACUCUGUCCUUUUUAGGUUUGCAAUCAGAGGAUGGGAGAUGGAGGCAAUAGCACAGUGUUGUGCUGCAGAUACAUUCAGGCUUCUCUCAAAUGGAAAACAAUUUUAGACAUUUCCUUGGUAUUCUGACGACUUCUGCUUUUGGUCAGCCUUUUUAUCUUUUUGAAAGGGAACAAAAUUAAGGCCACUUAGGCCAAGUUAAUGGGAUCACUUUCAUACCAAGAGAAGGUCUUAAGUGGUAGGACAGCCACAGCUCUUGACUUGUGGCUGGGCUACUUUAGUUAGAGAUGGCUGUAGGCUUUUGCUUUUAUAAUACGUAGGGCGCUUUUCAUUACUGGAAACUUGUUUGGACUUUGGUUUUUGCAUGAACUCAGGUUCAAAAGUGCAUGUGUGAAACUGGGACAUAGGCUUUUGUGCCCCUAGUUGGGCUCAGGGUGACAGCAAGAAGACUGAUGCCUUUGUUCCUUCCUGCAGUGAUUGCUCAUCUGGAUAGUGCUUGGAUGGAAAAAUAAAAUGGCUGCAAGGACGGCGGUAAAUAGCUGAGACAGAGUGGGCCUGGCAGAGAAAGACUCUGGGGUCUUGACAUUAGGAAACCUGCUUUAAGAAAUGAUCCCACCAUCCUGACUAGAAGUCUUCAGUGGGUUAAUGGGGUAAAGUUAUAAUAAAAUGGCUUUUGUAAGGACUGAUAAUGGGCCCUGCCCAUCUCUUCAUUGGUCUUUCCUGCUUUCCUGGUGAUCCUGUUUUCUGCCGGCUCUUGACCCAUGCAUGCUAGGUCCUCCCAUCAUACAUCCUCAUGAACUUCUCAUUUUCUGGGUCUCACUUGGUCCUGUUUUCUGCUAUCUGUAGGACACCAUUUCUACUAAAAGUCAACUCCUCUGAAAUUCCAUGAGGCCUGCCCAGAGGGCAUCAUCCCAAAGCCAGAACCACAAGCCUGCUGAGGCACCUGUUUUGUUCUCUGCUUAUGUGAUAAUUCUAGCCCCACCAUACAGUGGAACAAACACAACAGCAUCUUCCUAAUCAGACCUAUCAUUGAGGUUGCAAUUACUAUCACAACGGCCAUGGGCUGAGCUCCUCACUUGUGUAAAGAUGAGGCAUUCCUUCUCAUGUGCUACCCACUCAGUAGCCUCAGGUUGAAAAAGGAAAACUUCCUGCCUAACAUCAGACAAGAAACAGCCCAGCCUGAAGCUAUAUCGCCAAAGACUGUGUUCAGGAUCAUUCUCUCCUGUAGAUUUAGGGUCUCUUCUCCUGGAGACUAAGAAACGCAGCUCUCUAGAACAGGGAAGGUCCUCCUUCUUUUGCAACAAUGUGCAACUUUGGCACAUUGGUCUCUGACUCACACUGUUGGAACGCUCUGGGGCCAUUCCCUUUGACAGCCUCUCUGGUCCCUGCUGUCCUCAAUUUCAUUAUAGUGUUAGUUAUUUGGAGUUCUUAAUGGAACCAAGCCACACGAAAAAUCCAUGAUUUCUAGCCUAGAUCUCUAUCUUCACCCUUAUUGAAUCCAUCCUUCUUGAUACUGAAAAAUAUUUUAAAAUCCACUUCUCCAUCAGUGGAUAUUGCUUCACAGCUUCAUGUGUGGAGUAUCUAUUCCCAGUCCUAUAAACAAACAGUUUAAAACAGAAAAUUGCCACAAUGCUAGCAGGUUCAAGUUGGACAUAUUGGCUGCCAUGCUAAUUGAUUGCAGCCCAAAGGACGCUUGGGACUCUCCUGAGCCUACUGAAGUGUUAGAAGAGUGUAUAGAUCUCUAAGUAAGGUCAUGGACCUUGUCACUUCGCUGACAUUAUACCUGAUGUGUCCAGGACUAGUGGAGAAGCAAGAAGUUCCUGGGUCCCAUUGUGUUGGAUACCCUUUGAGGAUGUGGCCUGGGUGUAGCAGGUUGAAACACCAUCAGCAUAAUAGACUAAGCUUGGGUCUAGCUAAUUAGCAUAUAGCAGGAGGCCACAAGAUGUCUCCGAACUGUGGUGGGACCAAUGGGUCUUUGGCUCAUUUACUUAAUGAAGUGUGUCUGGAGAUGCAGAGGGGCCUGGAGAAGUCUUCUGUGCGACUGAGACAGCCUGGCUGCCACCAAAGGAGUAGUCUCCACUGCACAGCACUGCCCGACAUGCAGGUCUGAUUUAAUGUCACAUAUUUCUUAUCACCUACCCGUGUCAUUCACAUCUGGGACACUAGGGACUUCCAGUAGUACUAGGUCUGUGCCACCUGGCAGAAGAAAGGGUGAAGGAGAAGAAAAUGGUUUGGCUUCAGAGAGCCACGGUAAAGUUCAGCCAGUGACUAAUAGCUCUGGGAUGAUGGGAUGAGGGGGUGAAGGUGUGGGGAUUCAGGGCAAGGGUAGAGAGGGGGAGCCUUGAGCAGAGCAAGCUCUAGAAGCACAGAUCUUCAACAUCACAAGGUAGUUAGUCUCUUCACCCCAACUUCUGCACAGCUUCUGUCCUCCCAGGAAUGCUUGUCCCAGGCAGGCAACCUGGCUACCUGAAGAGAAGUCUGUUGGAUUCGGAUAUCAGGUCCUUGUGAGACCCAGGCUAGGGCAAGGGGAAGUGACAAGGGGGAAAGUGUGAUGGUAAGGUUUCAUGAGCUAAGCUGCUUGGCUAAGUAUGCACAUUAAAAAAAAAAGCAGGGUGGUGGGAGGGUCACUGUUCCCACUUGAUGGCUAUCAAUACUGAUACGGUAUGUGUGGUUGGGUAGCUAUCAAUACUGAUAUUGGUGGUAUGGCUGGGUAGCUUCACUGUAGAGUAGAUCCCAUGCCUUCUGAAGACCAAGUCCAGUGGUAUUCAUGGAUUAGGGGUUGCCCUUCCCCAUUUAGACUCUUCUAAGCACAUUUCCUUCUGAUAGGUGGAAAGAAGUGGAGAUACUAGAGUAGCUGAAGGGAGUGUUCUAGAAGCUGGUGAUAUUAAACUUGGAUAACAAAUCAGUUCCUCCUGUCUCCACCCAGCUUGGGACUAGAGAGCCCGUGCUUCCUGUGUGUUGAUGUGACGAGAUCACUGGUCUCCAGUUAUGAGAUCUGAGGUCUGCCUCAAGUUUAUCAUCUGACUCUGGAAUUACCUUGGUGGUAUGAUCCUCCCCAGGAAUUGAUCUCUCAUCUGGACAAGUGAAGGACUGACUGUGUGUGUCUACUCUUUUGUGCAUGGAUGUUACUUAUUACGAUGGAUCCUGCAGUAGUAACAGGAAGACUCAGUAAAUCACACCAGAAGUUGGGAAGCAGAAUCUGUUUUGAAAACACUAGAUGAUGAUGAUGAUGAUGAUGAUGAUGACGACGACGACGACGACGACGACGACGACGACGACGAUGAUAAUGAUGAUAAUGAUGAUUAUUCAAUUUUGCUGUGGUAACACUUAAGAUCUACCCUCAUAACAAAUUGUCCACACUCAAGAUUCUAAGUAGCCAAGGGUGAUGUUUUAGGUUGAAUGGCCAUAAGUAAUAUCAUCCUGAAUAGGGAAGCUUUGACCUUUGUCCACUUUGUGCCCUGGUGGAUACGCCUCCCGCUCCCAGACUGUCUUCCUGGGAAAUCUGCAUUCAUUCAACUCUUACCAUGGCAACUAGAGCUGAAGGAUACAAACAAGAAGAGAAUGAUGGGGAGACCGGGAACGAGGGCCACAGGCAGACAAGGGGCCCUCAGAAUCUGUGACAAUGUCUAUUCUGACAAUAACUUAUGGAAAAUGCAAGCACUCUUCUGAUGUGUGUAUGCCCACCACGUCAGCUAAUUAGAAGAAGGUUACCAUAGAGAGAGAUAAUACAAUAGUUAAAAAAAAACCAAACCAAACCAAAACAAAACAAAAAAACCAAAAACCAGGAAAGCCUGGCUUAGGUCACAGUGCCCCACACCGUACAGACUAACUCUAGGAUUGUCAUGGCAGGAAAGUUAUUCUCAGUGAUCCUGCAAGUUCUGUCAGUCCAUUGAAAUGUGCCCAACUCACCAGUGGUUAAGCUGGCACAUCUGGAAGGUUAAGUAAGUGUGGCCAAAUGAUGAUGGACAGGAGCUUUAGAGUCAGGCCACCUGGACUGACAUGCUGGGUUUCCCAAUUCCUCAUUCGAUGAUCUUGGGAAAAAUCACUUACUCCCACAAGCUGCAAUGCUGUCAGAUGGUGCUAAGUCAGCACUUACUCUAGGGGUCUUAAUGAGGCUCAAACUGGGACUGUCCAUAUAAAGUACUCAGCACUGAUCAUGCGCAGUACCUGCAUGUAAGUAUUGGCACCUGCUGUAAUUGAUAAUGGUGUUAAUGAGUGACAUGCUCAAAGCCAGUAGAUUUCUCGUUAUUGGGCAAAGUUGUCAAUAGGCUCCGCUGACGCACUUUCUGGGUUCAUGUUAGGCUACAUGUAUCCAUUAUUGUAAAAGAAUAUUAGCAUAGCAUUGGGAAUGUGUCCCUCUUUGCUCUGUAUUGUUGCCCUUGGGAGCAUCUAGAAGCAGUGAUUAAGUGUGCUUCUGCAAGUAGCUUAGCUCACUUCAUAACAUCACUUCCUGUGCAUAGGUAGAGUCAAAAGCUACGGGUCACUUAGGUUCACUGAGGCAAAACACCGACUUCAGCGACGGAAAGGAGCAAUGCCCUGUGUUGUGCGUGUUUAUAGGAUGCCUUUUCUGAGGCAGUUGCUCUAGGUUAUGGGACCCUAGUGUCCUACAAUAAAGUUCGGUCAGACUUGUGUCCAGUUUAUCACAUCAGGCCUCUUUCAGAAUGCGUUUGUGCUGUUGACUAAUGGAAACCAGUGCACUCUGCAUGGCCCAUAAAACCAGAAGCCAUCCUAGAACCUAGAACGAAUCUACAUGAGCUCUGGAAACUGGAUCCAAUUUACAGUAGAGUCUUUAGACACCGUGAGGGCUUGAAGGAGCUGAGUCCUCCUGAAAGCUCUCAGCAGCUGUGGCACAGUGGCCCUUCCCUGAGUCUUCAGCCUUGGCAGUCUCCUCCAAUUCCUCAUUUCUGAUGCAUCUGACCUUUUGGUUGCACAUUCCAUGUUUGUUAAUUGUUGAGUAAUAGAAAAAGGGCGAGCUCUGGGGCUGGGUGCAUCUGUAUUUAAUUUCUAGUUGAUGACCUCUGACAAGUUCCUCAACUCCCCUGAGUCUUUUUUUUUUUUUUUUUCUGAAUCCAAUAAAAAAAAUACUCCGAUUAGUUUUAAGGAGCAGAUAUAUUAUCUGUAGGGGGUGUGUCUAGCUCCCUAUACUAUGUGACACAGUACCUGGCAUGUGUGUAGUAGACCAUCAGGAGGUAUCUGCUGAAUGCAGAGAGGGUUAGGUGCAGAUGUGGGUCCUAUACAGAUGUUGAUGGGAUAGAUGCUCUUUUCCCUCUAUCACUGACACUUCUCCUCUUCAAUUACACUGACCAGACCAAGGAAGAUGGUUCAGAAAUAAACGGUGGGAGUUGGCUUUAUAAUUCUGUCAUUGCCUACCAUGACCAGAAGAGGCAGCAGUUAGUGGGCUUUGACUAUAUUUUGUUUAAAGUAGGUGGGGCUUGAAGAGGCCCUUGGAGCUGAUCUCAGAACAUUCCUUCACACCCUCCAUGAUAGCUGUUUCUGAUUAACUGUCUUAGAUAUUACACACUUAGAGUUUUUCUCAUACCUGUUCUACCUGAGUGUCCAUCAUGCCCUGGGCGUGGGAGUUGUGAGCUGGGUGGGCUGGGACCAGUCACACUUGUUUCCAGUGGGAUCCUCCUAGCUAUUUCCACCAGCUAUUCACUACCUUGCUGGCAUGUAGAAACAGAGCAGACAUUUCUGAAUGCUCAAACCACAGUAACACCUCCUGCUCCUCCUGGUGCUUUCUGGGAACAGAAUCGCAGUCUGCAGGUCUGAUGUGCAGAGGGGAGGUCCCUUGGCUUAAUGGUGGUCCACUUCCUAGACCUUUCCCAGAAUCCCUCAGCUUUUCUCGCAAACAAAAUCCCAAUUAGGAAAAAAAAAAAAA
This is a long non-coding RNA of Mus musculus (house mouse), 10994 nucleotides long. RefSeq annotates it as predicted gene, 57766. The transcript is spliced from 2 exons. The record is from RefSeq and is a predicted model, not a curated record. NCBI's taxonomy places the organism in Eukaryota, Metazoa, Chordata, Mammalia, Rodentia, Muridae.